GGGGAUUUGGCUCAGUGGUAGAGCGCUUGCCUAGGAAGCGCAAGGCCCUGGGUUCGGUCCCCAGCUCCA
Molecule: non-coding RNA, 69 nt
Organism: Rattus norvegicus (Norway rat)
Lineage: Eukaryota; Metazoa; Chordata; Mammalia; Rodentia; Muridae
Source: Rfam